UGCAAUAUUAGUGUGCAGGAGGGG
This 24-nucleotide non-coding RNA is filed under the name Arabidopsis thaliana (thale cress). The record is from RNAcentral. Lineage: Eukaryota; Viridiplantae; Streptophyta; Magnoliopsida; Brassicales; Brassicaceae.